Molecule: long non-coding RNA, 3033 nt
Filed under: Salvia miltiorrhiza (redroot sage)
Lineage: Eukaryota; Viridiplantae; Streptophyta; Magnoliopsida; Lamiales; Lamiaceae
Description: long non-coding RNA (SMIL_LNC006320)
Source: RNAcentral
UUAAUGUAUAAAAACACAGUUUUCUACAGUUUAUCUUUCCGGGCAAAUCCAGCGGUUCCCUACUUUUCUGCCACAUACACCAGUAACACCAUGUUCUCAAUUUUAUCAUCCCACUACACUUUAUUCUAUUCUCUCUCUCCCAUUGAAAUUCACACUUUCUACAUGCUGGAGCAACCUAAUUGCAAAAAAGAGAGAUCUUAGAACUUUGAGCGAGUCGUCCUCUGACGGAGAUUCGGCCGUCAUUUGUUAAUCAAACUCUGAUGAAGACGCAACAAUUGCCUUUGCCGUGGCGCCGCCUCGGACAAACGUUGCCCAAAACUCGGGCUGGCCUAUGGCCUCACGCCGCCUCCAAACGCAAGAGCGAACCCAACAAGUUUCCUUCUCCCUAUAUUCCUAUAUUUUUUUUUCUAUUUCUUAUUAAGCAGACUUGAAUUUUUACUUCUAUUUUCUUUUCUAUUUUAUUGAUUACCAGGCUCGAGCAAUUCUAUGAUCUUUUUCCGAAAAGGUCUUGAGCCAUUACACAUAAUCAUCGAUCAUAUAAUUGGAAAGGAGGUAAUAUGCAUCUGGAUGUUUAUCUAUUCUUUUACACUUCUUGUGAUAUUUUUAUUUUGAUGAAUAAUGCUAGAAAGACUGCACAAUUUGUGUGUAAUUUGAUAAUAUUUAGCAAAUUCUUAAAUAUCUGAUUAUAGUACUAAUUAAAUUUGGAUUUUUUUUGAAGGAACUCGGGGAGAUUUGUAAAAGUAUUUUUUGAAAACUGAGAUCCGAGUCAUACGUAUGUUUUUCCUGCGCUGUUUCUUUAUUCUGUCAGCCAAAACAAAUUGCUUUUAGUCGGGAGAUUGAUGUUAUAUCUCAUUUUUCUCUGCCUCGAUUGAAUUUUCUCGAUGUUUUUCAUGCGCUAUGUGUAUUCAUUCAGCAAAAAAAGCCCUUUUGUCGGUAGAUUGAUGAUAUAUCUCAUUUUUCUAUAGCUUGAUUGAAUUUUCUCGAAAUAUAUAUGUAUGAUUUUCACGCGCUAUUUAUUUAAUUUAGUCAAGAAAAAUGGCUUUAAUUGGUGGAGUGAUGUUAUAUUUCAUUUUUCUCUUGCUCGAUUGAAUUUGAUAUCAUCAUAAUUGGUGGAUUGAAUUUCUGAUCAGAAUCUCCUUUCCUUUACGUUCUCUCGGAUUGCCAGUUGGUUUUUUGAUAUUAUCAUUUGAAUGUUGGAAUAGGUUUUAUACCUUUAUCUGUUAGAGGCCUUUAGGAGAAUUGUAGUUGGGGUUCUGAUGGAUAGUUGGUUUGUUGAAUUUAGGAGGCAUAUUGCUGAAGAAUAUCUUUGCGUUAUUGUGGUGAAGUUGUAUCAAUUUAAUUUCCAUCUUCUCCAAUUUGAAGCCGUAUCAGUUUUUCUAUCCCUUUCAAAGGAAUUUUAAUGAACAUGAUUAUAAUAUAUUUUUAAGGUGUAAUAGUGAUGUUGGUCCAUUGUCUCCAUUUAUAAUUGUUAGCGUUUUCGCUUGAAUUUUUGGUGUGUGUGUCUUUUCUUCAGCAGUUUCACAUGAUUUUGACACAAGGAGAAGUCGAUUGCGUAUGGUGCUUGAUCAUAUAAUAAGGUUUGAUCAAAUAUUGGUUUCAAAAGUGAAUUAUACUUCAUAUUUCGAAUGUUGUACAUUUUUUAAUAUUUUCUUGGAUUUGUCUUGGCAUUUCUCACUGCAUCUGCAUACAUGUUUGGUGUUUAGAUUUCCUUAAAUGUUAAUUUAUAAGCACCUAUGUGUCAAGUUUAUUGUCUCGCUGAAUUAGCUAAUUGUGAAAGAAAAUUUGCUAGAAUCAGUCUUUGACUUUUUUAACCACCGUUUUCUACAUUGUUUGUACAAGCAUCUUUGUUUUGAGCUUAGAAGUUAUAAAAUUGUGUGUGUAAAUAUUCUUGAAUUUUACGUUUACAAUAUCCCUCUACUCCUAAACGAUAAAGCCAACCAAACCAUCAUAGUCUGUGUGAUCAUAAGAUAACAGACAACAUAUAUGUAUGUGAGUUUUCAGAUUAAGAUGUUGCUUUUUUAUUUGUUCUUUUAGAUAUGAUUUUGUCUAAAAGUGAAAAGCAUGGGCUUUGAACAAUUUGGGAGACUUCUCUCGACAUGCCUCCGCUGAUUUGGAUGCUCAUAUAGACAAUGAUACAAGGUGAUUUCAAAAGGGGCCUUCUCAUUUUCCCCCAUUUUAUGCGUUUGAUUGUGUUUUUUGAUUUUUUUUUUGUUGUGUGUGAAUGUGUUUUGUUCGUUUCAUUCUAAGUUUUCUUUUAGAGAAUUAGCAAUUGAAAAGAGUAAUAUUUUCAAUUGAUAAAGUCGAUUCAUUAUUUUUGCAGAAUCUGAACGAUGUAGUGUGGACUCACGAAUCAAGUGACAAAUAAUUCAUUCGGAAGAUUGUAAAAAUGGUGCAGGAAAUGUAAUAUUUAUGAGACGUUUGGGAGGUGAACUGCUGAGGGUUUUAGGCCACGAAUAAAGACAGAUGGGUAAGAGAAAAUUGGAAGAAGGAUUAACAUUGUUAGACAUAAGUCAACCACUUCCUAAUGAAAAAUGCUUCAGUGAUUGCGUCGAUACAUUUUACUCAUUCAGUGAAACCACCUAUCUUUUUCUUGGAAAAUGUAGAUGAUGGAGCAACAGUGCGGAGGAAAAUUUUAUUAUGACGUUAUUGGUGACCAGUAUCUCACUAUCACUGUGUUUUUGGGCACGAAACACUUGGAAAUGAAAAGUAAAUUGUCUAUCUAUGCCCAUACGUUCAUUUGUGCACAAAACCGAUAGCCAGAAUACAUAUUAAAAUAUUGUUGUUCACGAAUAUAAUCAUUCUCACUAUAACAUAACCCCUAAUAUAUAUAUAAACACUUCUUAACAUAUAAACCAGCUAAAAUGUAUGAAUUCAAUAUAGAACACAUACAAAUUAUUUAUGUAAAUGUCUGUAUUGCGAAAAAUAAAAUUUUCACUCUAUUUGGAAUUCAAACUCAGGACUAUGAAUUCAUUUUUUAAUGAUCGGGUCACGGUUGACUUGAACCUUUGAUCUUAAACAUGAACCACUCUACCC